AUACAUUUAAGUUCUAGGUCGCCCACCAGUAGAAUGCGGGAAUACAUUUAAGUUCUAGGUCACCCACCAGUAUAAUGCGGGAAUACUUUUCAGCUCUAGGUCGCCCACCAGUAAAUGCGGGAAUACUUUAAGUUCUAGGUCGCCCACCAGUAAAAUGCGGGAAUACUUUUAAGUUCUAGGUCGCCCACCAGUAAAAUGCGGGAAUACAUUUAAGUUCUAGGUCACCCACCAGUAAAAUGCGGGAAUACAUUUAAGUUCUAGGUCCCCCACCAGUAAAAUGCGGGAAUACUUUAAGUUCUAGGUCGCCCACCAGUAUAAUGCGGGAAUACUUU
This 332-nucleotide long non-coding RNA is filed under the name Nicotiana tabacum (common tobacco). RNAcentral's name for it is "long non-coding RNA (NTAB_LNC011669)". The record is from RNAcentral. Lineage: Eukaryota; Viridiplantae; Streptophyta; Magnoliopsida; Solanales; Solanaceae.